CUACGGGUUGCUGCAGUGGGGAAUAUUGCACAAUGGGCGAAAGCCUGAUGCAGCAACGCCGCGUGAGGGAUGAAGGCCUUCGGGUUGUAAACCUCUUUUAGCAGGGAAGAAGCGAAAGUGACGGUACCUGCAGAAAAAGCACCGGCUAACUACGUGCCAACAGCCGCGGUAAUACGUAGGGUGCAAGCGUUGUCCGGGAUUAUUGGGCGUAAAGAGCUCGUAGGCGGUUUGUCACGUCUGCUGUGAAAAUCCGAGGCUCAACCUCGGACUUGCAGUGGGUACGGGCAGGCUAGAGUGCGGUAGGGGAGAAGGGAAUUCCUGGUGUAGCGGUGGAAUGCGCAGAUAUCAGGAGGAACACCAAUGGCGAAGGCACUUCUCUGGGCCGUAACUGACGCUGAGGAGCGAAAGCGUGGGGAGCGAACAGGAUUAGAUACCCGAGUAGUC
RNAcentral lists this ribosomal RNA (444 nucleotides) under uncultured bacterium. Its description in RNAcentral is "partial 16S ribosomal RNA". It matches the Rfam family "Bacterial small subunit ribosomal RNA", at positions 339 to 795 of the family's 1533-position model. The record is from RNAcentral.